UCUCCGUAGGUGAACCUGCGGAGGGAUCAUUACCGAGUGAGGGCUCACGCCCGACCUCCAACCCUUUGUAAUCCAUACCAUGUUGCCUCGGGGGCGACCCGGCCUUCGGGCGUCGGGGCCCCCGGUGGACCAUCAACGCUGCAUUCUCUGCGUCGGAGUAUUAGUAAAUCUAAUCAAAACUUUCAACAACGGAUCUCUUGGUUCUGGCAUCGAUGAAGAACGCAGC
RNAcentral lists this unclassified non-coding RNA (226 nucleotides) under uncultured fungus. Its description in RNAcentral is "sequence contains ITS1, 5.8S rRNA gene". The stretch from base 178 to 226 matches the Rfam family "5.8S ribosomal RNA", at positions 1 to 49 of the family's 154-position model. Lineage: Eukaryota; Fungi. The record is from RNAcentral.